This 982-nucleotide ribosomal RNA is filed under the name Vibrio sp. RNAcentral's name for it is "bacterial SSU rRNA". It matches the Rfam family "Bacterial small subunit ribosomal RNA", at positions 85 to 1063 of the family's 1533-position model. Lineage: Bacteria; Pseudomonadati; Pseudomonadota; Gammaproteobacteria; Vibrionales; Vibrionaceae. The record is from RNAcentral.
ACGGCGUCGAGCGGCGGACGGGUGAGUAAUGCCUAGGAAAUUGCCCUGAUGUGGGGGAUAACCAUUGGAAACGAUGGCUAAUACCGCAUGAUGCCUACGGGCCAAAGAGGGGGACCUUCGGGCCUCUCGCGUCAGGAUAUGCCUAGGUGGGAUUAGCUAGUUGGUGAGGUAAGGGCUCACCAAGGCGACGAUCCCUAGCUGGUCUGAGAGGAUGAUCAGCCACACUGGAACUGAGACACGGUCCAGACUCCUACGGGAGGCAGCAGUGGGGAAUAUUGCACAAUGGGCGCAAGCCUGAUGCAGCCAUGCCGCGUGUGUGAAGAAGGCCUUCGGGUUGUAAAGCACUUUCAGUCGUGAGGAAGGUAGAGGCGUUAAUAGCUGCUUUAUUUGACGUUAGCGACAGAAGAAGCACCGGCUAACUCCGUGCCAGCAGCCGCGGUAAUACGGAGGGUGCGAGCGUUAAUCGGAAUUACUGGGCGUAAAGCGCAUGCAGGUGGUUUGUUAAGUCAGAUGUGAAAGCCCGGGGCUCAACCUCGGAAUUGCAUUUGAAACUGGCAGACUAGAGUACUGUAGAGGGGGGUAGAAUUUCAGGUGUAGCGGUGAAAUGCGUAGAGAUCUGAAGGAAUACCGGUGGCGAAGGCGGCCCCCUGGACAGAUACUGACACUCAGAUGCGAAAGCGUGGGGAGCAAACAGGAUUAGAUACCCUGGUAGUCCACGCCGUAAACGAUGUCUACUUGGAGGUUGUGGCCUUGAGCCGUGGCUUUCGGAGCUAACGCGUUAAGUAGACCGCCUGGGGAGUACGGUCGCAAGAUUAAAACUCAAAUGAAUUGACGGGGGCCCGCACAAGCGGUGGAGCAUGUGGUUUAAUUCGAUGCAACGCGAAGAACCUUACCUACUCUUGACAUCCAGAGAACUUUCCAGAGAUGGAUUGGUGCCUUCGGGAACUCUGAGACAGGUGCUGCAUGGCUGUCGUCAGCUCGU